UGACUUACCUGGACGGGGUCAAUGGGUGAUCAAGAAGGCCUAUGGCCUAGGCUAGUGAACUCCAUUACACUUGGGAGGGGUGCUAGCUCAAGUGGUCGAGCCUACAUCAUAAUUUUUGGUAGUGGGAGUCUGCAUUCUCACAGCCCCUA
RNAcentral lists this small nuclear RNA (149 nucleotides) under Solanum tuberosum (potato). RNAcentral's name for it is "U1 spliceosomal RNA". It matches the Rfam family "U1 spliceosomal RNA". From Rfam's summary of the family: U1 is a small nuclear RNA (snRNA) component of the spliceosome (involved in pre-mRNA splicing). Its 5' end forms complementary base pairs with the 5' splice junction, thus defining the 5' donor site of an intron. The record is from Rfam by way of RNAcentral. Lineage: Eukaryota; Viridiplantae; Streptophyta; Magnoliopsida; Solanales; Solanaceae.